RNAcentral lists this ribosomal RNA (504 nucleotides) under uncultured bacterium. RNAcentral describes it as "partial 16S ribosomal RNA". It matches the Rfam family "Bacterial small subunit ribosomal RNA", at positions 28 to 523 of the family's 1533-position model. The record is from RNAcentral.
GAUGAACGCUGGCGGCGUGCCUAAUACAUGCAAGUCGAGCGAAUGGAUUAAGAGCUUGCUCUUAUGAAGUUAGCGGCGGACGGGUGAGUAACACGUGGGUAACCUGCCCAUAAGCCUAGGAAACCGGGGCUAAUACCGGAUAACAUUUUGAACCGCAUGGUUCGAGAUUGAAAGGCGGCUUCGGCUGUCACUUAUGGAUGGACCCGCGUCGCAUUAGCUAGUUGGUGAGGUAACGGCUCACCAAGGCAACGAUGCGUAGCCGAACUGAGAGGGUGAUCGGCCACACUGGGACUGAGACACGGCCCAGACUCCUACGGGAGGCAGCAGUAGGGAAUCUUCCGCAAUGGACGAAAGUCUGACGGAGCAACGCCGCGUGAGUGAUGAAGGCUUUCGGGUCGUAAAACUCUGUUGUUAGGGAAGAACAAGUGCUAGUUGAAUAAGCUGGCACCUUGACGGUACCUAACCAGAAAGCCACGGCUAACUACGUGCCAGCAGCCGCCGUAA